ACUAAUUCUGGAGGAUGAUCUUGUUCCUCUUGGUAUAAUGGCUUGGGGCCACACUCUUGAUGUGUGGUUAUAUCCUGAUUGGUGGCUUUAUUGGUGCCAUUCUAAUCCUGGAAAGGCUCAUAUUCAUUC
Molecule: small nucleolar RNA, 129 nt
Organism: Panicum virgatum (switchgrass)
Lineage: Eukaryota; Viridiplantae; Streptophyta; Magnoliopsida; Poales; Poaceae
Source: RefSeq, a predicted model, not a curated record